UACGUAGGGUGCAAGCGUUGUCCGGAAUUAUUGGGCGUAAAGAGCUCGUAGGUGGCCUGUCGCGUCGGCUGUGAAAACUCAGGGCUCAACCCUGAGCCUGCAGUCGAUACGGGCAGGCUAGAGUCCGGCAGGGGAGACUGGAAUUCCUGGUGUAGCGGUGAAAUGCGCAGAUAUCUGGAGGAACACCGGUGGCGAAGGCGGGUCUCUGGGCCGGAACUGACACUGAGGAGCGAAAGCGUGGGGAGCGAACAGG
This 253-nucleotide ribosomal RNA is filed under the name uncultured bacterium. RNAcentral describes it as "partial 16S ribosomal RNA". It matches the Rfam family "Bacterial small subunit ribosomal RNA", at positions 524 to 776 of the family's 1533-position model. The record is from RNAcentral.